RNAcentral lists this non-coding RNA (29 nucleotides) under Rattus norvegicus (Norway rat). The record is from RNAcentral. Lineage: Eukaryota; Metazoa; Chordata; Mammalia; Rodentia; Muridae.
UCUUACAAUUGCUUUGGUGAGACAUUCCC